GAUGAACGCUGGCGGCGUGCCUAAUACAUGCAAGUCGAGCGAAUGGAUUGAGAGCUUGCUCUUAUGAAGUUAGCGGCGGACGGGUGAGUAACACGUGGGUGACCUGCCCAUAAGACUGGGAUAACUCCGGGAAACCGGGGCUAAUACCGGAUAACAUUUUGAACCGCAUGGGUCGAAAUUGAAAGGCGGCUUCGACUGUCACUUAUGGAUGAGACCGCGUCGCAUUAGCUAGUUGGUGAGGUAAAGGCUCACCAAGGCAACGAUGCGUAGCCGACCUGAGAGGGUGAUCGGCCACACUGGGACUGAGACACGGCCCAGACUCCUACGGGAGGCAGCAGUAGGGAAUCUUCCGCAAUGGACGAAAGUCUGACGGAGCAACGCCGCGUGAGUGAUGAAGGCUUUCGGGUCGUAAAACUCUGUUGUUAGGGAAGAACAAGUGCUAGUUGAAUAAGCUGGCACCUUGACGGUACCUAACCAGAAAGCCACGGCUAACUACGUGCCAGCAGCCGCCGUAA
Molecule: ribosomal RNA, 515 nt
Filed under: uncultured bacterium
Lineage: Bacteria
Description: partial 16S ribosomal RNA
Rfam family: Bacterial small subunit ribosomal RNA
Source: RNAcentral